GUAACACGUGUGCAACCAACCCCGUACCGGGAGAUAACCCGCGGAAACGUGGACUAACAUCCCAUGAUACUCGAGAGCCGCAUGGCUCUAGAUUUAAAAUUCCGGUGGUACGGGACGGGCACGCGCGACAUUAGGUAGUUGGCGGGGUAACGGCCCACCAAGCCGACGAUGUCUAGGGGUUCUGAGAGGAAGGUCCCCCACACUGGAACUGAGACACGGUCCAGACUCCUACGGGAGGCAGCAGUGAGGAAUAUUGGUCAAUGGGCGAGAGCCUGAACCAGCCAAGUCGCGUGAGGGAAGAAUGGUCUAUGGCCUGUAAACCUCUUUUGUCAGGGAAGAAUAAGGAUGACGAGUCAUUCGAUGCCAGUACUUGACGAAUAAGCAUCGGCUAACUCCGUGCCAGCAGCCGCGGUAAUACGGGGGAUGCGAGCGUUAUCCGGAUUUAUUGGGUUUAAAGGGCGCGUAGGCGGGACGUCAAGUCAGCGGUAAAAGACUGCAGCUAAACUGUAGCACGCCGUUGAAACUGGCGCCCUGGAGACGAGACGAGGGAGGCGGAACAAGUGAAGUAGCGGUGAAAUGCAUAGAUAUCACUUGGAACCCCGAUAGCGAAGGCAGCUUCCCAGGCUCGUUCUGACGCUGAUGCGCGAGAGCGUGGGUAGCGAACAGGAUUAGAUACCCUGGUAGUCCACGCCGUAAACGAUGCUCACUGGAUCUUGGCGAUACACUGCCAGGGUUCAAGCGAAAGUAUUAAGUGAGCCACCUGGGGAGUACGUCGGCAACGAUGAAACUCAAAGGAAUUGACGGGGGCCCGCACAAGCGGAGGAACAUGUGGUUUAAUUCGAUGAUACGCGAGGAACCUUACCCGGGUUUAAAUGUAGAUUGCAUGAGGUGGAAACGCUUCUUCCCUUCGGGGCUAUUUACAAGGUGCUGCAUGGUUGUCGUCAGCUCGUGCCGUGAGGUGUCGGGUUAAGUCCCAUAACGAGCGCAACCCCUAUCGCCAGUUGCCAUCGGUUGAAGCCGGGCACUCUGUCGAGACUGCCACCGUAAGGUGCGAGGAAGGCGGGGAUGACGUCAAAUCAGCACGGCCCUUACACCCGGGGCGACACACGUGUUACAAUGGCCGGUACAGAGGGCAGCCACGGGGUGACCCGGAGCGAAUCUCUAAAGCCGGUCGUAGUUCGGACUGGAGUCUGCAACCCGACUCCACGAAGUUGGAUUCGCUAGUAAUCGCGCAUCA
Molecule: ribosomal RNA, 1237 nt
Filed under: metagenome
Description: bacterial SSU rRNA
Rfam family: Bacterial small subunit ribosomal RNA
Source: RNAcentral